RNAcentral lists this ribosomal RNA (465 nucleotides) under Vreelandella stevensii. RNAcentral describes it as "partial 16S ribosomal RNA". It matches the Rfam family "Bacterial small subunit ribosomal RNA", at positions 338 to 795 of the family's 1533-position model. The record is from RNAcentral. Lineage: Bacteria; Pseudomonadati; Pseudomonadota; Gammaproteobacteria; Oceanospirillales; Halomonadaceae.
CCUACGGGAGGCAGCAGUGGGGAAUAUUGGACAAUGGGGGGAACCCUGAUCCAGCCAUGCCGCGUGUGUGAAGAAGGCCCUCGGGUUGUAAAGCACUUUCAGUGAGGAAGAACGCCUGGUGGUUAAUACCCAUCAGGAAAGACAUCACUCACAGAAGAAGCACCGGCUAACUCCGUGCCAGCAGCCGCGGUAAUACGGAGGGUGCGAGCGUUAAUCGGAAUUACUGGGCGUAAAGCGCGCGUAGGUGGCUUGAUAAGCCGGUUGUGAAAGCCCCGGGCUCAACCUGGGUACGGCAUCCGGAACUGUCAAGCUAGAGUGCAGGAGAGGAAGGUAGAAUUCCCGGUGUAGCGGUGAAAUGCGUAGAGAUCGGGAGGAAUACCAGUGGCGAAGGCGGCCUUCUGGACUGACACUGACACUGAGGUGCGAAAGCGUGGGUAGCAAACAGGAUUAGAUACCCGAGUAGUC